This 301-nucleotide ribosomal RNA is filed under the name uncultured bacterium. RNAcentral's name for it is "partial 16S ribosomal RNA". It matches the Rfam family "Bacterial small subunit ribosomal RNA", at positions 509 to 807 of the family's 1533-position model. The record is from RNAcentral.
CAGUCGCCACGGUAAUACGUAGGUGGCAAGCGUUGUCCGGAAUUAUUGGGCGUAAAGGGCUCGCAGGCGGUUUCUUAAGUCUGAUGUGAAAGCCCCCGGCUCAACCGGGGAGGGUCAUUGGAAACUGGGAAACUUGAGCGCAGAAGAGGAGAGUGGAAUUCCACGUGUAGCGGUGAAAUGCGUAGAGAUGUGGAGGAACACCAGUGGCGAAGGCGACUCUCUGGUCUGUAACUGACGCUGAGGAGCGAAAGCGUGGGGAGCGAACAGGAUUAGAUACCCCUGUAGUCCCUGUCUCUUAUAC